Molecule: non-coding RNA, 74 nt
Organism: Danio rerio (zebrafish)
Lineage: Eukaryota; Metazoa; Chordata; Actinopteri; Cypriniformes; Danionidae
Source: Rfam
GGCCGGUUAGCUCAGCAGGUUAGAGCGUGGUGCUAAUAACGCCAAGGUCGCGGGUUCGAUCCCCAUACUGGCCA